This 450-nucleotide ribosomal RNA is filed under the name uncultured bacterium. Its description in RNAcentral is "partial 16S ribosomal RNA". It matches the Rfam family "Bacterial small subunit ribosomal RNA", at positions 354 to 796 of the family's 1533-position model. The record is from RNAcentral.
GUGGGGAAUAUUGGACAAUGGGCGGAAGCCUGAUCCAGCCAUGCCGCGUGCAGGAAGAAGGCCUUCGGGUUGUAAACUGCUUUUGUACGGAACGAAACGGUCCGGGUUAAUACCCUGGGCUAAUGACGGUACCGUAAGAAUAAGCACCGGCUAACUACGUGCCAGCAGCCGCGGUAAUACGUAGGGUGCAAGCGUUAAUCGGAAUUACUGGGCGUAAAGCGUGCGCAGGCGGUUUUGUAAGACAGGCGUUAAAGCCCCGGGCUCAACCUGGGAAUUGCGCGUGUGAAUGCAAGGCUGGAGUGCGGCAGAGGGGGAUGGAAUUCCGCGUGUAGCAGUGAAAUGCGUAGAUAUGCGGAGGAACACCGAUGGCGAAGGCAAUCCCCUGGGCCUGCACUGACGCUCAUGCACGAAAGCGUGGGGAGCAGACAGGAUUAGAAACCCGAGUAGUCC